Molecule: RNA transcript, 9375 nt
Organism: Mirounga angustirostris (Northern elephant seal)
Lineage: Eukaryota; Metazoa; Chordata; Mammalia; Carnivora; Phocidae
Gene: AREL1
Gene name: apoptosis resistant E3 ubiquitin protein ligase 1
Exons: 21
Source: RefSeq, a predicted model, not a curated record
GAAAAGCUUGGAGCCGGUUCCCAGCUGGAGCCGAGAUCCGUAUUGGGGUCUCGGGGGGGAGGGUCUUGGGCCAGGCUUGCGACGGGUGCUGCCGCCGCCGCUCCCGGCAGCAGAGCUGGGACUCCGCCGCGCUGCUCGGGAUCCCGGGACAAGAGAACAGAUGCAUCCUUUGGCAGUCGAUUGCACCCUGCCCUAGAGAGAAGUCCAGGAUAAUACUUUUGGGCCUAUAUUUCUCCACCCUGGAAUUCAUCCAGUUCAUUCCAGAAAUAUUGACCCUCUGCUUCUGUGACACCUCCUCAAUGAAUGUCUGAUGGACAGACACUUUCCGUUUACCUUGCAGCAAUUUUCUUUCCUGUGGAGGUUGGAAGAAAAGGUGAAUGGUGCCAAAAGUUGCCUGCUUUGGUGAAUAGGACUGUUCCACUUGGUUCUCAGAACAUGGGCCCUCGUUUAAAGCUGCAGCUGUGAUCCUCGCUGUCUGUCGGCAUUGAAGGGACCUGAUGUUUUACGUUAUUGGUGGGAUCACAGUGUCUGUGGUUGCAUUCUUCUUCACAAUUAAGUUCCUCUUUGAGCUUGCCGCACGCGUAGUCAGCUUCCUCCAGAAUGAGGACCGUGAGCGCAGAGGGGAUCGGACUAUUUAUGACUACGUGCGGGGAAAUUACCUGGAUCCCCGGUCUUGCAAAGUCUCCUGGGAUUGGAAGGACCCCUAUGAGGUGGGCCACAGCAUGGCCUUCCGAGUGCAUUUAUUCUACAAGAACGGGCAGCCUUUCCCGGCACAUCGGCCGGUGGGACUGAGAGUUCACAUCUCUCAUGUCGAGCUGGCAGUGGAAAUUCCAGUGACCCAGGAAGUCCUCCAGGAGCCCAGUUCCAACGUGGUCAAGGUGGCCUUCACUGUGCGCAGGGCGGGGCGUUACGAAAUCUCGGUGAAGCUUGGUGGAUUAAACGUGGCCUACAGUCCCUACUAUAAGAUUUUUCAGCCUGGAAUGGUGGUUCCUUCCAAGACCAAGAUAGUGUGCCAUUUUUCUACUCUGGUGUUGACCUGUGGACAGCCACACACCCUUCAAAUAGUGCCCCGAGAUGAGUAUGACAACCCUACCAACAAUUCUGCAUCCUUGAGAGAUGAGCACAAUUACGGUGUGUCCAUCCAUGAGCUCGGUCCUCAAGAAGAAGAGAGCACUGGUGUCUCGUUUGAGAAGUCAGUGACAUCCAACAGGCAGACCUGCCAGGUGUUCUUGCGACUCACCCUGCAUUCUCGUGGCUGCUUCCAUGCCUGCAUUUCAUACCAAAAUCAGCCAAUCAAUAAUGGUGAAUUUGACAUUAUUGUCCUAAGUGAGAAUGAGAAGAAUAUUGUUGAACGCAAUGUGUCCACCUCAGGAGUGAGCAUUUACUUUGAGGCUUAUCUUUAUAAUGCUACCAACUGUACCAGCACGCCCUGGCACCUUCCGCCCAUGCACAUGAGCUCCUCCCAGCGCCGGCCUUCUACAGCUGUGGAGGAGGAAGAUGAAGAUUCACCCUCUGAGUGCCAGACCCCUGAGAAGGUGAAGAAACCAAAGAAGGUGUACUGCUAUGUGUCACCAAAGCAAUUCUCAGUGAAGGAGUUCUACCUGAAAAUCAUUCCCUGGCGCCUUUAUACCUUCCGAGUGUGCCCAGGAACAAAAUUUUCAUACCUUGGCCCUGACCCUGUUCAUAAGCUCCUCACACUGGUGGUAGAUGAUGGCAUUCAACCACCUGUGGAGCUUAGCUGUAAGGAGAGGAACAUUCUAGCAGCCACUUUCAUCCGCUCCCUCCAUAAGAAUAUAGGAGGCUCUGAGACCUUUCAAGACAAGGUGAACUUCUUCCAGCGAGAGCUUCGGCAGGUACAUAUGAAAAGACCACAUUCCAAAGUCACCCUGAAGGUCAGCAGACAUACCUUGUUGGAAUCGUCUCUGAAAGCCACUCGGAAUUUCUCCAUCUCAGACUGGAGCAAGAACUUUGAAGUGGUUUUCCAAGAUGAAGAAGCUCUGGACUGGGGAGGGCCUCGCCGGGAAUGGUUUGAGCUCAUCUGCAAAGCACUAUUUGAUACCACCAAUCAACUCUUUACCCGAUUCAGUGACAACAACCAAGCAUUAGUACAUCCCAACCCUAAUCGCCCCGCUCAUCUGCGCUUGAAGAUGUAUGAGUUUGCAGGGCGGCUGGUGGGCAAGUGUCUCUAUGAGUCCUCUCUAGGAGGAGCCUACAAGCAACUGGUCCGAGCUCGCUUCACCCGCUCUUUUUUGGCCCAAAUCAUAGGACUACGUAUGCAUUACAAGUACUUUGAAACAGAUGACCCAGAAUUCUACAAAUCUAAAGUUUGCUUCAUCCUCAACAAUGACAUGAGUGAGAUGGAGCUGGUCUUUGCAGAAGAGAAAUAUAACAAAUCAGGUCAAUUGGAUAAGGUUGUAGAACUCAUGACAGGUGGAGCUCAAACCCCAGUCACCAAUGCAAAUAAAAUCUUCUAUUUAAAUUUAUUGGCCCAAUAUCGUCUGGCCAGUCAAGUGAAAGAGGAGGUGGAACACUUCCUAAAAGGCCUGAAUGAGUUGGUCCCUGAGAACCUUUUGGCUAUUUUUGAUGAAAACGAGCUUGAGCUGCUGAUGUGUGGGACUGGGGACAUCAGUGUGUCUGACUUCAAAGCCCAUGCAGUGGUUGUUGGCGGCUCAUGGCAUUUCAGAGAAAAGGUCAUGAGGUGGUUCUGGACCGUGGUGUCCAGUCUGACCCAGGAGGAGUUGGCUCGGCUGCUGCAGUUCACGACGGGCUCCUCUCAGCUACCACCCGGAGGUUUUGCCGCCCUCUGUCCCUCGUUCCAGAUUAUUGCCGCUCCGACCCACAGCACGCUCCCGACGGCGCACACGUGUUUUAACCAGCUGUGCCUCCCCACAUAUGACUCGUACGAAGAGGUGCACAGGAUGCUGCAGCUGGCCAUCAGUGAGGGCUGCGAGGGCUUCGGCAUGCUCUGACCACUCUCCUGCCACCCCCCGGGCGCCCGUGCUUCCUGGAGCACCUGGGUGCACCUAACACCGUGACAACCACCGACCCUAACGCGUCUCCAUCGGCCAGAAGCUGCUGCAUGCUUCCCCGUGUCUGGAGGACUGGCUCGCCUACGAGCCGGGUUGCUCCCUCGCUUUCCCCUCCACCUCUCCCCCACCGGCCACUUCGGCACGGCGUGGAGUCUGAGCUGCUCACUCAUGAGAAGAGGACCACGCUGCUGUCACUUCACUUGGUUCUCAGAAGAUCUCGGGAGCUGAGGGAGAUUACACAAAUGGCUCGGCUUCCUUAGCAGGCUGGGGCCCGCCUUGCUCAGCCUCCUGUGCCGAUGCCCCGACAGGUCCCUCUGCGGCCCGCAUUACUUGCCCUUCGGCGACGUGAGUCCUUCCUGGGCACAGGGCAAUGGCCCCUUCCCACCAGGAGCCGGGAGAAGCAUAGAUAGCAAGUGACCCACAUGAGCAGUCCUCAUUUUCGUCCCUCUGCACCAUGGCGGCCUCAGGUCCACCACUGGUCUACCUCGAAGGGGGACUGAUGGCACAAAAGGAUCUUUUUUUGUGGUGUCAGAACUGGAAAAGGAGCUUUUUUCCCUGAAGGCAUUUCUGGAUAUGAUCAUUAAUCCAUAAAGAACUCUCUAAGCUUUUUCUUGAGUUUGAGCCAGUGAGAAAAAACAGACCCAAGAAUGUGAAAGAUAGCUGGGCCAUAGCUUCCAGUGCUGAAAAUGAUUUUCCUUUAGGGCACGUCUAGGCCUCUGGCUGGCCUGGAAGACUACUGAUGUUUGUCCCUGAGUUUGUCCUAUACACUGAGGUGUGGCUGGGCCUGGCCGCUUAGCUCCACCUUAUGCAGUCUGCUAAGAGCUAGGGAUUCUUUAGCUUUCUACGGAAGAAAAUUUUGUAGCAAGGGUUUGGGGUAGUAAGAAUAGCAUGCUAAGACUCCCUGACUCUCUCCUUGCUUAGUAUUCUCUGGCGGCACUGAGGCAAGGGAAAAGGGAUCAGUGGCUGAAGUGCUUAAUCACAGGUCUGCGGGGUCCGACAGCAAACACCCAGUGGCCCACUGACCUCCUUCCCUCUCUAAGCUGCCAGCAAGAGCCCCUGAGGAGGGAGGACGAUCUAGUAGGUUCACUGUUACACGGUGACUGAAGAGAAACUGCCACUGGCUCUUGGUAAGUCACACCAUCCUUUUUCAUGACAAUUUGAAUGCAGCCAUUUUCAAGACUCAAUAUCUCAUCAACUUCCCGAAUCUCUGUUUUUAAGAAGGCUUUGCUGCAAGCUACCAUUCUCAACGGGGCAUUCAACCCUGAUUACAAGCCAUCUUUACUGCCAAAACCAGCAAGUCCACAGAGUCCGGGGAUGAGGCGGGGCUUGUGGCCGUGCCUCGGCCUCCUGGAAGCCUGUCUGAGCCCUCCUGUUCCCAGGGACCACGAGGAACCAGCCCUCCUGAGCUGCUCCUGCUGCGGCCUGAUCUCACUCCUUUGCGGUUGUCAUUUGUCCUUCUUGGCGUGGGUGCUGACCUCACUCGUUCUUGGGUCCAGGAUCCAGCAUCAGGGCCUCGACACCCCCAGCCAGGGUCCUCCAUGCCACACGGUCACUGCUGUCCUCAGGGACCAGGACAAGGUGCUGCUGCUUGCUCCAGCGUUUUCCCAUGGGACAAAUACAGGGUGCUAUAGCUGAUGCCUGUUCCUCUCUGGGGUUUGGACAAGUUGUAGCGUUGAUUCCCCGAAGCUUCUGAGCUGGAUCACAGCUGGAUGGCCGUUGCCUUUAGGAAAGCCUUCAGUCUUCUUUUCCCGGAGGGAUUCCUCCUCUGAUACUUUGUUGAUGAUGAUGCAAGCCUAUGUCUCCUCAAAUACUCAGAGCACCAGGACUAAACUUGGGUAUUCUCCUAUAGAUCUGGCACUUGCCAUCCUAGUCAAGGUAGACGUGUCGUUGGAUCCUGACAGGCUCCGGAGGUGGGUGGGGAGGUCUGGAGGUGGGUGUGGGUACAGCAGCUGUGCGUGCAUCUGCCAGUUUCACAGUGGUUCUGGUUUCAACAGUUCUGACUUGAUCCCCGAACACCUUGAAAAUUGUAUUGUUUUGGCGUCCAAACCAUGGCUUCCAGACAGCCUCUCAUACCCGGAAGCAGUGCUUUAAAACUCUUGUCAGGCCAUAUCUGGAGUUUUGGCUCCAAAAAUGCCAUUGUGGAUUAGCUAUACAGGGAUGAAAAAAAGCACAACUCCAGUCCUGCUUUUGGGGCACAGGCUGGGCUCAAGGGCUUGGCGUGGUGGGUAAAAGGGGCCAAGAUAGUGGUUGGCACAAGGAUAUGGAGAACUCUGGAAGCGGAGCCAGAGACUCUGAGGACUGAGGCCCAGGAAAGUUUGGCACGAGUAACCCCGGGUAUUUAACCAGGAACAGUCCCUUUAUUUUUCUCAGCCUUGGCAGCCGGUCAGAGCAACAAGCAGUUCUAGCAAGGUCCACAUCCUUCCUAUUGUCUCCACCCCAACCUCACUCAUCGUCCCAAACAUCUGCUUCAUAUUUGGGCCCUUGCCUUCUCCCUGAUUCCUGUACCAAACCGCGGUGGCGAGCGUGAGGGCGAGGGGCAGGUCUGCAGGUGUGGGAUGGGGAAGAAGAGGAGGUGGGAGGCUCUGGGAAAAGUCCUUUAAAGGUUUUAUUUCAGGUGCUGCAGAAGGAUGAAGGAUCUGACCUUUUUUUUUUUUUUUUUUAAUGUACAUAUAUAUCACCCAAAUCUAACCAGUAAGUUGUUUCACUUUUUGGAUAAAGGGAGGGCAGGAAUUGGGACCAGCUGGGGACAUCUUCGGGCCAUCAGAGGGCCUGCUUUUCAAAGGUAGCUCAGAGUCACUCCGGAGGGAGCAAAGUGAAGUGAUUAAUGCCCACAGUGAACAGUCAGGAAGUGCUAAUGAGGUAGUAAACCUUCUCCAGCUCGCAGCUGCGUGGAGGCUGAAGCAGAGGCAGGCGAGGCCAGCCGGGGCCUGGAGGUGGCAGGAAAGGAGACAAGCCAGAGCUAGCAGCCACAGCAGCCUCGAACGUGUCACCGCGACAAAAUCGAACUUUCCCUAGUGCCUGCCCUGAAAUGUCAGUCCAUUUGAUGUUUUUUAAGAUUUAUUUACUUAUUUGAGAGAGAGAGAGAGCACGGGGGAGGGACAGAAGGAGAGGGAGAGAGAAUCUCAAGGAGACUCUGUGUUCAGUGCAUACCCAACCAGAGGCUCAGUCUCAAGACCCUGAGAGAUCAUGACCCGAGCCAAAACCAAGAGUCAGACGCUUAACCCACUGAGCCACCCAGGUGCCCCUGCCAGUCCAUUUUAAGUGACAGAAACUCCCCAAGGGAAAAUACUGGGGAGCCUUAGGGAGUAAUCUCAGAACUCUUAGAAUAAUGAUAGCAUCUAAUCCUGCGCCAUGCCCUGCUCAAGGAACUGCCUGUGUUAACUCAUUUAAUCUUCACAUCAAUCUACAAGGUAAAGACAGGUACUAUUUCCACAUUACAGAUGAGGAAACUGAGGCACAGAGAAGUAACUUGCCCAAGGUUGCAUGUCUAGUGAUGCGUCUAGGUGUCAAGCUGGUCCUGACACUUUAUCUCCCACGAGCUUGAAGGAGGUGGAGUUUGAGGACAGGAGAGUCAAAUCCAGAGAACGCUGGGAAGAGAGUUGCUAGUGUUCUGCUCAUCUUCCAACCCCGAGACAGAUUGUGUGGUCCUCUCACUCCUGGGGCCACAGGGAGCCAGUCUGACAGGCGCUUCUCCAUCCUGUCCCACUGUUCUGUGCCUCCUGAGGCUUCUGCUGCCCUCCCGGGGCAGAGCUUACACUUUCCACCCCCCUCUCCGACCCAGAUCAGCUGGGGGAGGCGACUUAGAGACUUGCCCAGGGCUCCAGGCCCCGGGUGGGGAAGAAGAGGCGCUGAAGGGCAGGAGCCAGCCAAGGCCCUGUGGGCUGCCAGGAGCACCGUUAAACUUCAAAGCUGCGGGGUGGGAACCAAACCCAUCACUUGGCUGCGAAGCUGGGAGCCCCAGUGACAUACCUCACCCUGGCAGGUCUCUGUCUGCAGAGAAGCAACCGGAUGGGUAGCGACAGGCUGAGGGUUGUUUCCAGCUGCUGCAGCCCGAGCUUCACCAGAGCCCACUUCAUGUCCUCUCUCCGUAGGAGAGAAGAGUGUGCUGGUGAGAGAUCACAGGGCCCUCGCCUGACUGGGCCAGAGCCCCACAGACACUGGGUCGCGGGCAUGAAAUGAACAAGCCCAGGUCAUGCCCGCCUUUGUGCCUUUGUUUAUGGUGGGCACUCCAGGAGGACUGCUGCCCAUCUCGGUUCCUCCCACCGCCUUGCCCUUCAGACCCAGCUCAGGUCAGAGCAGGUGAGGAUUAAAUAAGAGAAUUUAUGAAAAAUGCUUGCACAGUCUGACACACAGGAAGCCUAAAAAAAAAAAGUGGGUAUCAUAUUCUUAUUAACGACGGCAAAUAAAUAUGCACAGCUAUCUUUGGCUUUGUUGUAGUUUUGAAUUUGGAAGAUCUGAGUUCCAAUCCUAACCUUGCCCCUUCUUAGUUGAAUACUCUUGGAUAAAUUGCUUAAUGUCUCUUAACUAGAAAAUACUGAUUCUAACAGCUACAUAGCAUACCGCACAGAGGGAGUGUGAAGCUCAAAGAUAAUGGUUGUAAAAGAUGUUUUGUAAAAUCACAGAACCUCUUACGAAUGUUGGCUUUGCCUUUCCCACUUCCUCUGGCUCACAUGGGGCUCUGGCAUUGGCGAAGCUCCUAUCCCCUCCAUGCCUGCCCUUUGGGCGAUCUGACCCCUGCAACUGACCUGGCUCUUGUUAAAUCCCUUUGCCCCUUUAUUCAGCAAAGACAAGCCUGGAACUUUUUUCGGAAGAAACUUUGGUUUAAAAAUGAAAGGGGUAAAUUAAACCAAGCAAACGCAAAAGGAGAGCAAUUGGGCUUACGAAUCUGAUGUCUCCUGCUGUGAAGUCCAACCUUGAGGAGCAAAUCCACUUAGAGCCGUGACCACAAGCAUCACCUGCUGUCCCUCCUUGGCUUUGCCUGGUGGACUUGGGGUUGAAGGACCCCAAAGAAAAGGAGAGCCCAGAAUAAUAGUGAGCCACCUUCUCUCUCUCACACACACACAGGAUGUGGCUAACACCCACAGGUCUUCAAAUAUGAUGUGUCUGAGCCUCCCAGUGAGUCCAGCCCCCAGAGGCAGGCGUCCUGAGAAGCUAGGAAGGUGUGCACUUGGGUCUCCUCGCUUGCAUCAGCCCCUUCCAAGGUCAUAUAUAUAUUUUUCAAGAUCAUAUAUUUUACAAUAUCUGCCAAAGUAAGAUUUUUAUGGGGCGCCUGGGUGGCUCAGUUGUUAAGCGUCUGCCUUCGGCUCAGGUCAUGAUCCCAGGGUCCUGGGAUCGAGCCCCGCAUCGGGCUCCCCGCUCAGCGGGAAGCCUGCUUCUCCCUCUCCCACUCCCCCUGCUUGUGUUCCCUCUCUCGCUGUAUCUCUCUCUGUCAAAUAAAUAAAAUCUUAAAAAAAAAAAAAAAAAGAUUUUUAAACCGUAGUACUUUUACUGUCUCUGCCAUGAUUUCUUCUCUGUCACAUCCUUCUUGUCAGGUAGGGGGAGGUGGCUGUGGCAUCCAGGGGCGUGACUAAGGGAAUUUGAGUUGGGAGUGCAUUCAGUUGGGUUUACUGUCAGAUAUUCGUUUAGUUACUGUUGGGAAAACAUUCAGUUUUCUCACUAAUACACUUAUGCCACGUAAUAGUAGCUGAUGUAGUUAGAAGUGGCUUUCUAGAAUGUUCCCAUUGCCCAGUGUGGGGAUUCAGCUGAUGCAGUGACAGGUGCAGGGUCUGAAGGUUAUCACAUCCAGGAUGAGAAGUACUCAGGUAGGAGAGGAGAAACAAGGGCUUCAAUAUACAGAUUAUGAAGGAGGGUAUUUAUUUGAAAUAAUAAAAAAAGUCACAAAAAAAUUUUAAGCUAGCUAAUUUUAAGUCUAGAACAGUAAUCCGGACCAGCAUCUGGAUGUGCCCCUGUCAGCUGCUAUGUGUCUCUGCCCUCUGUGGGUCUGCCAUCGCCCGUCUGACGGGAUGUAGGAAGAGGAACAAUAAAGGAUUAACUUCAGAUUAACCAUUUGGGGUUCCCAGAGACAGAGAAAGAUGAUAAUGAUUAAAUAUGAAUUUUAUGCCAUCUUUUGGCACUUUGUGUGAGUCCCUGGAGGGAGGACACAGAGAGUCCCAAAACCAGUGUCUCGGGUUCUUGGGUUGAGGGCUGAGAGCUACAGGCCAGGGACUCUCCUGCCAGCUUCCCAUGGCCCUGACCUUUGUGUGUUCAAAUACAGGGAGCACAGAUCUAAUCAGAGUCAGGCACCUACUGUCACUGAUUCCUUAGGAACUUUUGAGAACCGACCUUGACCAGAGAGUAGCUCUGCAGG